UCCCUGGAGGUCCAGUGGUUAAUACUCUGCACUUCCACUGUAGGCACGUGGGUUCAAUCCCCAGUCAGGGAA
RNAcentral lists this transfer RNA (72 nucleotides) under Capra hircus (goat). It matches the Rfam family "tRNA". From Rfam's summary of the family: Transfer RNA (tRNA) molecules are approximately 80 nucleotides in length. Their secondary structure includes four short double-helical elements and three loops (D, anti-codon, and T loops). Lineage: Eukaryota; Metazoa; Chordata; Mammalia; Artiodactyla; Bovidae. RNAcentral also lists the same sequence under 1 other name. The record is from Rfam by way of RNAcentral.